Molecule: ribosomal RNA, 403 nt
Filed under: uncultured bacterium
Lineage: Bacteria
Description: partial 16S ribosomal RNA
Rfam family: Bacterial small subunit ribosomal RNA
Source: RNAcentral
AUUGAACGCUGGCGGCAGGCCUAACACAUGCAAGUCGAGCGAGCGGCGGACGGGUGAGUAAUGUAUGGGGACUGCCCGAUCGGGGGGGAUCACUACUGGAAACGGUCGCUAAUACCGCAUACUAUCGGAUAACCCAUAUGGGAUUGGCUAGUAGGUGGGGUAAAGGCUCACCUAGGCGACGAUCUCCAGCUGGUCUGAGGGGAUGACAGGCACCACUGGGAUUGAGACACGGCCCAGAUUCCUCCGGAGGCAGCAGUGGGGAAUAUUGCACAAGGGGCGCAAGCCGGAUGCAGCCAUGCCGCGUGUAUGAAGAAGGCCUUAGGGUUGUAAAGUACUUUCAGCGGGGAGGCGUUACCCGCAGAAGAAGCACCGGCUAACUCCGUGCCAGCAGCCGCGGUAAUAC